Setaria italica (foxtail millet) is the source of this 1337-nucleotide long non-coding RNA. RefSeq lists it as uncharacterized. The transcript has 2 exons. The record is from RefSeq and is a predicted model, not a curated record. Lineage: Eukaryota; Viridiplantae; Streptophyta; Magnoliopsida; Poales; Poaceae.
CCGGCGAUGCGCGACGCGCAGCGGCCACAGUUCGCCGGUGGCCGCGCCGAAGUCAAGUCGUCGCUCGUGCCGUGGCCUCCCUCCACACGCCGUCGCCUCCACCUCGCCGUGCGACUGCCCAUGCCGCGCCCACGCUUUACCCAUGCGACGACUAGCGCCAGUCCGCUGACCGCCACUGCUCGCCCGUCCUCGCCGUCCCCGUCCUUGCCCAUUGCUCGGCGUCGCAUCGCCACCUGCUCCGCCCGGCCAUACCGUGGCCCAUGCCGCGACCGCUCGCGCCGGUCACGGCGCUGCCGCCGCGCAAGCGCACGGUCCGGCCGGCCCCUCCUCGCCCGUGCCGUCUCUGCUCGACAGCGCACGGCCGCCUUGCCUCGGCCUUAUCUUCCCAAGCCGCUGCCGCAAGCCUCUCUCUCCCGCUGUUCUUUCUCGCAUGAGCGAGCAAGCAGCUGCGGCCAAGCCAUCUCAGGUCCUCUGCUCCUCCCUUGCUCGAGCAGAGCAAGCAGACCAGCGCCCCUCUCACAAGCUCCAUCCCCUUCUCUGAUUUCCUCCACCAAGCAGCUGCUCCCCUCUUCCAUGCUGCACGAGCUAGCAGCUUGAGCUCUUCGUUGUUCUGUCCAGCGAACAAGACACCACCAGCAGCAGCACACCCCAGCGCCGCACAGCCGACGAGCCCAGCUUUGCCUCUGCCCGAGGAAGAUGCCAACCGAGGCUGCAUCCACGACACCAAGUGACCUGCUACCUCUCCGUCAAGCCACAGCUGCCAGGACGCCGACGACCCUGCUUGCCAUGACAUUGCCUUCCUCGUCUACAACCCGUUUGCCAGCCGGCGUCAUCUCCUAUUUCUACACCAAGCUGCACUUGCCUGAGGUCGCCUUCAUUCACUUCGUGCUUGGCACCGCUACUGACGACGUGGAGUACGAGCUUGUGGCUGUGGAGCAGGCGUAGCCGCGAAGUCCGGAAGGAGUAUCCAAAAGGUCCGGCCCAAGAUCCGGAAGGGGCUUAAUGCCCAGUUGACACUAACUCUACCGUUUGGGAGGCAAACUUCGGAGCAUAAUCCUUACUUUUAAAAUUAUACAGUGUCCUUAUUUAUAUAUCUAUGCAUUUACGUGCCUGGUUGUUGAAUGAAACUAUAGAUGCACGAUUCCUAGGAAUCCCAAAUUAAAUACUAGUAUGUGUAGGUCGAAGAAAUGCCAUACUUAAUUAAGAAUGGUAGAAGCUGAGUGAUUGCCUGUCAUUCGCGAGAUUAGGUUCAUUUACUUGUAUGGUUAAAACUGAAAUGAAUGGUUCACAUCAGAAAUUGAGAAUGAAUCAACGAGAAAGGAAAAAUGGAGAUCGUG